GCCGAAGUGGCGGAACUGGAAGACGCGCGGGACUCAAAAUCCCGUGGGGCUUUAAACCCCGUGUGGGUUCGACUCCCACCUUCGGCA
RNAcentral lists this transfer RNA (87 nucleotides) under Candidatus Kryptonium thompsonii. RNAcentral describes it as "Candidatus Kryptonium thompsoni tRNA". It matches the Rfam family "tRNA". From Rfam's summary of the family: Transfer RNA (tRNA) molecules are approximately 80 nucleotides in length. Lineage: Bacteria; Pseudomonadati; Candidatus Kryptoniota. The record is from Rfam by way of RNAcentral.